RNAcentral lists this ribosomal RNA (507 nucleotides) under Paratya compressa. Its description in RNAcentral is "partial 16S ribosomal RNA". It matches the Rfam family "Bacterial large subunit ribosomal RNA", at positions 1846 to 2611 of the family's 2925-position model. The record is from RNAcentral. Lineage: Eukaryota; Metazoa; Arthropoda; Malacostraca; Decapoda; Atyidae.
UGUGUAGUCUAGCCUGCCCACUGAAAUAUAAAGGGCCGCGGUAUCUGAACCGUGCUAAGGUAGCAUAAUCAAUAGUCUUUUAAUUGGAGUCUAGAAUGAACGGUUGGACGAAAAUUUAACUGUCUUGAAUGUAAAACUGAAUUUUACUUUUAAGUGAAAAGGCUUAAAUAAAAUGAGGGGACGAUAAGACCCUAUAAAGCUUGAUGGUAAUUAUCUUGAAGUAUUUUAAAUAUUUGGUAUUUUAUUUUUGAGAAAUUAACAUUGUGCUGGGGCGGCUGGAAUAUAAGUUUAACUGUUAAUAAAAAAAAAUAAUUAUUUUUAGACAUAAAUGAUCCUUUAUUAAGGAUUUAAGAUUAAAGUUACUUUAGGGAUAACAGCGUAAUUCUUUUUGAGAGUUCAUAUCGACAGAAGUAGUUGCGACCUCGAUGUUGAAUUAAAAUUUCAUUAAGGUGUAGAAGCUUUAAUAGUAGGUCUGUUCGACCUUUAAAAUUUUACGUGAUCUGAGUU